AUGGAGGAAGCGAAGAAAGAUCUUUAUGAAGGAUGUAGUGAUUUCACACGGCUGUCGUUCAUUAUUAAGCUCCUCCAUAUCAAAUCAUACAACCGGAUUACAAAUAGAGCAUUUAAUCAGUUUGUUGAGUUGAUUAGUGUGGCGUUUCCACAUGCUGAUAUACCUAAAUCAUACACUGAAGCUAAGAAUGUUCUUAGUGAAGUUGGGCUGGGUUACAAGACAAUUCAUGUUUGCAAGUUUGAUUGUGCAUUGUUUUGGGGCCAACAUGCCAACAAGAGUCAUUGUCCUGAAUGCGGGACAUCAAGAUGGAAAGACGAGGUGGGGAGGAAAAAGAUACCUCACAAGGUACUUAGGUACUUUCCUAUCAUCCCAAGGCUUCAAAGAUUUUUUGUGUCAAAGGAACAAUCAGCAGAUGCAAGGUGGCAUAAGGAGAAGAGGGUUGCUGAGGCAAAUGUUAUGAGACACCCUGCUGAUGGUGAAGCAUGGAAGCACUUUGAUAGUGAGUUCGCUUGGUUUGCUAAGGAUGCCCGUAAUAUGAAUCUUGGUAUUGCCAUGGAUGGAUUCAACCCCUUUGGAAACAUGACGAGUUCAUAUAGUAUGUGGCCUGUUUUUAUCAUCCCCUACAACUUCCCACCCUGGAUGUGCAUGGACCAAUCUAAUUUCAUGAUGUCUUUG
Molecule: ribosomal RNA, 675 nt
Filed under: Triticum aestivum (bread wheat)
Lineage: Eukaryota; Viridiplantae; Streptophyta; Magnoliopsida; Poales; Poaceae
Description: partial small subunit ribosomal RNA
Source: RNAcentral